GAGAGUAAAGAUGAGAUUGAGAGAGAAUGAUAGGAGGGAGGAGUAAAAAAAGUGAAAACAAAAACAAAAUACUGAAAUCUAUUUGAAAUUGUUUUCACUUUCAAGUUUUGUUUUCACUUUUGUUACUCAUCUCUCCCAUCCUCCUCUCUCAUCCUCUCUCUCAGGGCC
Molecule: microRNA precursor, 168 nt
Filed under: Prunus dulcis (almond)
Lineage: Eukaryota; Viridiplantae; Streptophyta; Magnoliopsida; Rosales; Rosaceae
Description: sRNA ncRNA
Source: RNAcentral